This 628-nucleotide long non-coding RNA is filed under the name Nicotiana benthamiana. Its description in RNAcentral is "long non-coding RNA (NBEN_LNC009627)". The record is from RNAcentral. Lineage: Eukaryota; Viridiplantae; Streptophyta; Magnoliopsida; Solanales; Solanaceae.
CAUUAUUUGCAAUUGUUUUAUCAAUUUGGGAUAACAUUCUAAAGGAGGAAAGAUAUAAUGAAGGUUAGAUACCAAAUCGUCAACUUGUUCUUCCUUUUUUUUGUCAUCGCGAAAAUUUUACUAUUUUUCAUUUAGAUGCUCCGUACUGGUACGUAGUUUUGCAAUAUACAACAACAACAAUAUGCAGACCUUAUCCUACCCUGGGGUAGAGAGGCUGUUUCCAAAUAGACCCCCCGGCAUCCUUCCCUCCAAGAACUUCCCACCUUGCUCUUGGGGAGACUCAAACUCACAACCUCUCGGUUGAAAGUGGGGACCCCCCGGCAUCCUUCCCUCCAAGAACUUCUCACAUUGCUCUUGGGCAGACUCGAACUCACAACCUCUGGGUUGGAAGUGAGGGUUUCUUACCAUCAGAGCAACCCCUCUUGUCUUAGUUUUGCAAUAUGUAUAUAUAUAAUUAUUAUAUGCAAAACAUUAGCUAGGUCGAUGAAGAAGAUCCACGAUAUAGAAGGUUGUAAUAUGAUUGAUUCGACAGAUUUGUUCUUCACUUAAAAAACAUAUACUGUAAUUAAUAUCGUGUUUUGCAUGCAUGAUUUGAAGUGUAGAAGUAGAAUAAAAAAUCUAGUACUCC